This 3381-nucleotide long non-coding RNA is filed under the name Salmo salar (Atlantic salmon). Its description in RNAcentral is "lncRNA (ENSSSAG00000107388.1)". The record is from RNAcentral. Lineage: Eukaryota; Metazoa; Chordata; Actinopteri; Salmoniformes; Salmonidae.
CCCUAACCCAACCCUAACCGAGCCCUAACCCAGUCCAGCCCUAAUACAGCGCUCACCCAAACCAACCACAGCCCAACCCCAACCCAGCCUAAACUUAACCCAGCCCCAAGCCCAGUCCUACCCUCACCAGGCCCUGCCUGACCCACCCAUUCCAUGAUGACUAUGCAAUUUACAAAAUGACAAGCUGGCUGAAACCCUGCCCCAAAGAAUCCCCAGCCUGUGCCUGCUGCAUUAUUAAUCAGAUAUUGAUGAGGGCCUAAUAUACGCAUGCCACCCCGCUCUGCUCGGCUCCGCUCACCAUCCCAAUGACAUCCUUGUGUGCAUCCCAAAUGGCACCCUAUUUGCUACACAGUGCACUCCUUUUGAACAGAGCCCAGGGCUUUGGUAUAAAGUAGUGCACUCUGUUGACAAUAGUGUGCCAUUUGGAACACAGCCCUUGUUGUCUCCAGCCCCCGAGCCUCCACAGACAGACACACUCGACCAACCGACUCCAUCUCUGUCCCAUACGUCCAUCCAUUUGUCUGUCCCAUACGUCAUCUCUGUCCCAUACGUUUGUCCCAUACCUCUGUCCCAUUUCUCUGUCCCAUUUGUCUGUCCCAUACGUCUGUCCCAUACGUCUGUCCAUUUGCCUGUCCCAUACAUCUGUCCAUUUGUCUGUCCCAUACGUCCUCUCUGUCCCAUACGUGGGUCUCCCUAUGCGUCUCCCUAUGGGUCCUGACUAGAGCCCUAUGGGUCUCCCUAUGGGUCUCCCUAUGGGUCCUGACUAGAGCCCUAUGGGUCUCCCUAUGGGUCCUGACCUAAAGACUAUGGGUCUCCCUAUUGGUCCUGACCAGAACCCUAUGGACCCUGGUCAAAAGUAGUGAACUAUGUAGGAAAUAGGGUGCCUGUUAAUUGGUGUUUUACACUGUGUGACAGUCGACUGUUUCCUCUGGCCAGACACCAACGUGUCAUAAUGAACACACAUCGCAGGUGUAACCUUCAUAGGAAACUGAUGGGAAACUGAUGGAGGGUCUUCAUAGGAAACUGAUGGAGGGUAUUCAUAGGAAACUGAUAGGAAACUGAUAGAGGGUCUUCAUAGGAAACUGAUGGAGGGUCUUCAUAGGAAACUGAUAGGAAACUGAUAGAGGGUCUUCAUAGGAAACUGAUGGAGGGUCUUCAUAGGAAACUGAUGGAGGGUAUUCAUAGGAAACUGAUGGGAAACUGAUGGAGGGUCUUCAUAGGAAACUGAUGGAGGGUCUUCAUAGGAAACUGAUGGAGGGUCUUCAUAGGAAACUGAUGGAGGGUCUUCAUAGGAAACUGAUGGAGGGUAUUCAUAGGAAACUGAUGGGAAACUGAUGGAGGGUCUUCAUAGGAAACUGAUGGAGGGUAUUCAUAGGAAACUGAUGGAGGGUCUACAUAGGAAACUGAUGGAGGGUCUACAUAGAAAACUGAUGAUCUACAUAGGAAACUGAUGGAGGGUCUACAUAGGAAGCUGAUGGGAAACUGAUGGAGGGUCUUCAUAGGAAAAUGAUGGAGGGUCUUCAUAGGAAACUGAUGGAGGGUCUACAUAGGAAACUGAUGAUCUUCAUAGGAAACUCAUGGAGGGUCUACAUAGGAAACUGAUGAUCUACAUAGGAAACUGAUGGAGGGUCUUCAUAGGAAACUGAUGGAGGGUCUACAUAGGAAACUGAUGGAGGGUCAACAUAGGAAACUGAUGGAGGGUCAACAUAGGAAACUGAUGGAGGGUCUACAUAGGAAACUGAUGUAGGGUCUACAUAGGAAACUGAUGUAGGGUCUACAUAGGAAACUGAUGGAGGGUCAACAUAGGAAACUGAUGGAGGGUCAACAUAGGAAACUGAUGGAGGGUCUACAUAGGAAACUGACGGAGGGUCUUCAUAGGAAACUGAUGGAGGGUCUUCAUAGGAAACUGAUGGAGGGUCUUCAUUGGAAACUGAUGGAGGGUCUACAUAGGAAACUGAUGGAGGGUCUUCAUUGGAAACUGAUGGAGGGUCUACAUAGGAAAUUGAUGGAGGGUCGUCAUAGGAAACUGAUGGAGGGUUCUGAACCUCAUAAGUGAAUUAGUGACAUAGUUACGAUUCCUUAUUUCCUUCUCUUCUGGCGUUGAUAUGAAACUCAAAAGUAAUUCAGAGAGGGUUUGCUUUCUAAAAUUUGAUAUAUUCAAACUUGAAACUUCACAAAAAUGGUCAAAUUUUGCACUGCACACUAAAUCUGCAAUGCAAAAUCAGCUGAGCAAACUAACGUCACUCAAUCAAGCCUUUCCUCUCCAGACAGUGAGAGAAACAGACGAACAGACAGACAGACAGACCACUAGCGCCUGUCCAUAUCUUCACCAUCAUUCCUGGCAGCCACACACAUACCACUUAAUAAAUUGCACCUUUUCACAAAAGGAAAAGGUGAUGAAUUUAAAAAUGUUUAGCCUUAUGAAUAAUAGAUUACCAGUCUCUCUCUUGGCCCCGGCCCGGCCUCUCAGCCUACAGCUCGAAUCAGCUGCUCAUUAAUAAUUAAAUGUAAUCUCAUUAUGGGGAGUUUUCAUUAUGGGAUAAUAUAAUUAAAUGAAGAGAACCAAGGACCUGGGAGGGAGAGGGAGGCUGGGGGCCACUGGGGCCCAGUGAAAAGGCCUCUUAAUGGGCCCAGGACAGGAGAGAAGCCUGGUAAUGCACAGCACUCCAUACAUUAUUUAAUGGCUCCCUGGCUCUAAGGAAGGAUCGAUCGAUGAUAACUUGUCAUCUCAUCAAUGGGUUGAAAGCAUUCCUGAGCCCACUUGCUGCAUAGCAGAAUAUUUCCAAGAAUCUGUCACAGAGAAACAGAAAAGAGGUGUCAUUCUGUGAUGUGGAGAUGGGCAACUCUGCUUGGACUGUAGUUGUCUCUGCUUGGACUGUAGCUGUCUCUGCUUGGACUGUAGUUGUCUCUGCUUGGACUGUAGUUGUCUCUGCUUGGACUGUCUCUGCUUGGGCUGUAGUUGUCUCUGCUUGGGCUGUAGUUGUCUCUGCUUGGGCUGUAGUUGUCUCUGCUUGGGCUGUAGUUGUCUCUGCUUGGGCUGUAGUUGUCUCUGCUUGGGCUGUAGUUGCAAUGUGUUUUAUUUAGGCUCUUUGAAAUGAAACCCUUGGUAUUUAGCGUCACUGGAUGGAUGAGGCUUCCUGCUGAUUGAGACGGCGUGAGGGAGGGAAACACAGUCCCAAAUGGCACCCUAUUCCCUGAGCCCAUAGGCUCUGGUCAAAAGUAGUGCACUAUAUAGGGAAUAGGGUGCCAUUUGGGAUCCAGUCAAUGAACGUACAGUUAGGUCAAACACCUCAGCGGAAACGGUGAAGGGUACGAGGCAUAUAUUUGAUACGAACACAUACAUUGAUACCACAGUCUGAUGGGAGCCAUUAGAUAGGGAGG